Podarcis lilfordi (Lilford's wall lizard) is the source of this 66-nucleotide non-coding RNA. NCBI's taxonomy places the organism in Eukaryota, Metazoa, Chordata, Lepidosauria, Squamata, Lacertidae. The record is from the annotation of a GenBank genome assembly.
GCAACUUAGUGGUAGAGCAUAUGCUUUUCAUGCAGAAAGUCCUAGGUUCAACCCCUAGCAUCUCCA